This 351-nucleotide RNase P RNA is filed under the name Gammaproteobacteria bacterium. RNAcentral's name for it is "RNase P RNA component class A". It matches the Rfam family "Bacterial RNase P class A". From Rfam's summary of the family: Ribonuclease P (RNase P) is a ubiquitous endoribonuclease, found in archaea, bacteria and eukarya as well as chloroplasts and mitochondria. Its best characterised activity is the generation of mature 5'-ends of tRNAs by cleaving the 5'-leader elements of precursor-tRNAs. Cellular RNase Ps are ribonucleoproteins. The record is from RNAcentral. Lineage: Bacteria; Pseudomonadati; Pseudomonadota; Gammaproteobacteria.
GAAGCUGGCUAGGCAGUCGCUGUAUGGUUUUCCAUGCAGAGGAAAGUCCGGGCUCCACAGAGCAGGAUGCCGGCUAACGGCCGGACGCCGCGAGGCGAUGGAAAGUGGCACAGAAAAUAUACCGCCGAUGGCCCGCAAGGGAUCAGGUAAGGUUGAAAUGGCGAGGUAAGAGCUCACCGCGUUGCUGGUAACAGCAAUGGCAAGUUAAACCCCAUCCGGAGCAAGGCCAAAUAGGGGGGCAUUGGCGCUGCUCGCGUUGCCCCCGGGUAGGCUGCUUGAGCGCUGGAGCAAUUCAGCGCCUAGAGGAAUGACUGUCCACGACAGAACCCGGCUUAUCGGCCAGCUUCACCC